GGAACGGACGCUAAUACCGCAUACGUCCUACGGGAGAAAGCAGGGGACCUUCGGGCCUUGCGCUAUCAGAUGAGCCUAGGUCGGAUUAGCUAGUUGGUGAGGUAAUGGCUCACCAAGGCUACGAUCCGUAACUGGUCUGAGAGGAUGAUCAGUCACACUGGAACUGAGACACGGUCCAGACUCCUACGGGAGGCAGCAGUGGGGAAUAUUGGACAAUGGGCGAAAGCCUGAUCCAGCCAUGCCGCGUGUGUGAAGAAGGUCUUCGGAUUGUAAAGCACUUUAAGUUGGGAGGAAGGGCAUUAACCUAAUACGUUAGUGUUUUGACGUUACCGACAGAAGAAGCACCGGCUAACUCCGUGCCAGCAGCCGCGGUAAUACGGAGGGUGCGAGCGUUAAUCGGAAUUACUGGGCGUAAAGCGUACGCAGGCGGUUUGUUAAGCGAGAUGUGAAAGCCCCGGGCUCAACCUGGGAACUGCAUUUCGAACUGGCAAACUAGAGUGUGAUAGAGGGUGGUAGAAUUUCAGGUGUAGCGGUGAAAUGCGUAGAGAUCUGAAGNGAANUACNCGNNAUGGNCGAAGGCAGCCACCUGGGUCANCACUGACGCUCAUGUACGAAAGCGUGGGGAGCAAACGGGUAUUAGAUACCCCGGUAGUCCACGCCGUAAACGAUGUCUACUAGAAGCUCGGAGCCUCGGUUCUGUUUUUCAAAGCUAACGCAUUAAGUAGACCGCCUGGGGAGUACGGCCGCAAGGUUAAAACUCAAANUGAAUUGACGGGGGCCCGCNACAAGCGGUGGAGCAUGUNGGUUUAANUUCGAUGCAACGCGAAGAANCCUUACCUNACACUUGACAUACAGNANGANCUUACCAGANGAUGGNUUUGGNUGCCUUNCGGGAANCCUCUGANUANCAGGUGCUGNCAUGGCUNGUCGUCAGCUCNGNUGUUGUGAGANUGNUUGGGUUNAANUCCCGCAAACGAGNNCGCAACCCCNUAUCCUUAGUUGCNUAGNCAGGUNAAUGCNUGNAGAANCUCUNAAGGAGANCUGCCGGUGAUAAACCGGAGGAAGGUGGGGACGACGUCAAGUCAUCAUGGCCCUUACGUGUAGGGCUACACACGUGCUACAAUGGCGCAUACAGAGUGCUGCGAACUCGCGAGAGUAAGCGAAUC
This 1166-nucleotide ribosomal RNA is filed under the name uncultured bacterium. Its description in RNAcentral is "partial 16S ribosomal RNA". It matches the Rfam family "Bacterial small subunit ribosomal RNA", at positions 153 to 1273 of the family's 1533-position model. The record is from RNAcentral.